CAUAUAGCUUAGUGGAUAAAGCGUUCGCCUCCGGAGCGAAAGACCAUGGGUUCGAAUCCCAUUAUGU
This 67-nucleotide transfer RNA is filed under the name uncultured Lachnospira sp. It matches the Rfam family "tRNA". From Rfam's summary of the family: Transfer RNA (tRNA) molecules are approximately 80 nucleotides in length. Lineage: Bacteria; Bacillati; Bacillota; Clostridia; Lachnospirales; Lachnospiraceae. The record is from RNAcentral.